RNAcentral lists this small RNA (596 nucleotides) under Pongo abelii (Sumatran orangutan). RNAcentral describes it as "retained intron". The record is from RNAcentral. Lineage: Eukaryota; Metazoa; Chordata; Mammalia; Primates; Hominidae.
GCACCCGGUGCCUGGCUGGGGGAGGACGCAGUGGCCAGCAGGGGUCAGGGAGCCAGGCCUGACUCCUUGCUGAUGCCCCAUCCCUUCCACAGGUGCAUCCAGAUCAACACCGACUCCAGCCUCCUCAACUCCGAGUUCUGCUUCAUCCUCAAGGUUCCCUUUGAGAGUGAGGACAACCAGGGCAUCGUGUAUGCCUGGGUGGGCCGGGCAUCAGACCCUGACGAAGCCAAGUUGGCAGAAGACAUCCUGAACACCAUGUUUGACACCUCCUACAGCAAGCAGGUUAUCAACGAAGGCGAGGAGCCUGAGAACUUCUUCUGGGUGGGCAUUGGGGCACAGAAGCCCUAUGAUGACGAUGCCGAGUACAUGAAACACACACGGCUCUUCCGGUGCUCCAAUGAGAAGGGCUACUUUGCAGUGACUGAGAAAUGCUCUGACUUUUGCCAAGAUGACCUGGCAGAUGAUGACAUCAUGUUGCUAGACAACGGCCAAGAGGUCUACAUGUGGGUGGGGACCCAGACUAGCCAGGUGGAGAUCAAGCUGAGCCUGAAGGCCUGCCAGGUAUAUAUCCAGCACAUACGGUCCAAGGAACAUGA